GGCGCUACAGGUGGGUGAAGUUAAGUGGCUGCUGGAGCGUCUCGGGGGACAGCCAGUGUCUGCGGCGCCGAGAGGGCCGUUCGUGGACUCAAAUGGGUAUCACCCCUACCGUUUAUAGUCCUCCCAAUAGUCUGCAUCUCGUUUUGUCGUGGCUGGUCGUGUACUCCUUGUGGAGUCUGAAGGUACAAGGGGAUCCCCAAAAUGGAGAAGUGGGUGUCUUUGGAAGGGCCUACUGAGUAACAUGGUUGGAGUGGCCAAAAGACUUUGUUUUUCUUUUGCUACUCAAAAGAAAGCUGGAAUACCAAAAAUUUUUACUUACGGAUAUCAGGUCUUAGUUAAGAUCGUGGUUUGAAUUCAAGCAUCUAAUUUUGCCUACUCUCCUGUUAAAAAUCAAGUUUAACAACCUAAACACAAGGACAAAGAGAUAACAGCAACAAAAUGUUGGAAGCUGGAGAGCACAAGUAUGAGUAUGAGAGACAGGGUCUCUGUCACCCAGGCUAGAGUGCAGUGACUUGAUCAAGCUCACAGCAGCCUCCAUCUCCUGGGGUCCAGCAAUCCUCGCACCUCAGCCUCCUGAGUAGCUAGGACUACAGAUAAUCAAGCUAAGCACACAGGAUGACUGCCCAAGAAGCAAGUGACCGCAAUGGUGAAGCUGGGCCUCCACCCUGCCGUCUGGCUGACUUCAAGGCCUGCACAGCCUCUUAAGCCGCAUCCUGCUUGCUGCCUCCAAGCUUUCCUGACUGCAGCCUUUUCUCCAGUCACUUUUGAUAGAGGAGUUAAGAAGAAAUUACUUAGGCAGAUAGUGAGGGUAUGGAAGUCCUCGGUAAGGUUUUCCUUUUAAUGAAAAGCAGCCCCAAAUCAUUUUCCUUUCUAACAAACAGCAGCCUGUAAAAUCAAGCUGCAGACAUAGAUGCCGGCAGUUGUGCCAAUCAUGUUCAGAAUGGUGGCUCCCUUCUCCCUUCUCUGCCAGCCAUAUGUACAGUAAGGAGCAGACAACAUGGCUCGGGCCAAGGGUAAAGUUGAUUUGCAUAAUAAGAUUAGGGUGGGGCCCACCAGCCUUCCCCUGCACUAUGUAAACAUCACGCCUGACUGAACCAAUCUGUGAGCCCUAUGUAAAUCAGACAAUGCCUUCUCAAGCCUGACUAUAAAAUCCUGUGAGUCCACUGCCAGCCAGUCUUUCCUCUGGGAAGCCCCUCUCUCUCCCUAGAGAGAGCUGGUUUCCUUUCUCCUUUCUUUUUCUUUUGCAUAUUAAACUUCCACUCCUAAACUCCU
RNAcentral lists this long non-coding RNA (1272 nucleotides) under Homo sapiens (human). Its description in RNAcentral is "HSALNT0293474". Lineage: Eukaryota; Metazoa; Chordata; Mammalia; Primates; Hominidae. The record is from RNAcentral.